GUCGGAGGGAAUGCUGCGUCCUGGUUCGUGCCAUAGAGAGAGGCGCUGCGGUGCUUUGCACCUGAGCCCGGGGUCCCCUCAGCUCUGCUGGAGGAGCAGGAGCGGUGUGAGCUGCCUCUCCGCGUCCCGUCAGCUGAGGAAUAGCGUGGAGGAAUGAAUUCCAGUGAGUUGGAUGAGGAAAAUGUAAACUCUGCGUUCUCGUCGGGCAAACAGCAGUCGUGUAAAUAAACGUCUCUGGGAUUCCUUGUGGUGCUCAUCGACUGCCCGAUCCCUCGUGGUCUCUUGUUGAACUGGUGGGGUGGCUGCUGCUGCUCCCCCAGCUCUGAGUGCUUUGCCAGCAGUUUGGGCAAAACACAAGUAAACACCAUUGGGUUGACC
This 378-nucleotide long non-coding RNA is filed under the name Gallus gallus (chicken). RNAcentral's name for it is "long non-coding RNA NONGGAT002079". The record is from RNAcentral. Lineage: Eukaryota; Metazoa; Chordata; Aves; Galliformes; Phasianidae.